Equus caballus (horse) is the source of this 951-nucleotide non-coding RNA. Lineage: Eukaryota; Metazoa; Chordata; Mammalia; Perissodactyla; Equidae. The record is from RefSeq and is a predicted model, not a curated record.
UGACAAGUGGUGUGUAGGUCCGCACCUGGGAUCCAAACCGGUCUCUCUUCCCAGUCUUCAUGCACCUGCAGGGCUGUCAACACUGGGAGGACUGGAAGAAAUUUGUAAAGAGUCUGGGAGUCUUCAGAGAGGAAAAGAGUGCAGACCUGGACUCCUCCUUUUCCAAUGUCUUUAUUAUUAGAAAGUUUUCUAUGCAUUGAGCCGGUUCUGAUUAAGAAAGGAUCUAAUAAGAAGGAACAUUGAAGACCUUAAGCUGUUAGCCCUGCUGUGGCCGGCAUUACCCGAUGGGACAGGCUAUCCGGUCAUGGGCACGACUGGAGGCAGAAGGCCCUCCUGACUCGGCCACUGUGCUCUGUAAACUAAAAAGCUGUUGGCGCGGAUGCCGUCUUACCUCUGAGGAGCAGGCUGCUUCUCUCUUGAAGAAUCACUGUGGCCACUAUUGGAAUCUGCAACAGCAAAGGCCAGCGCACACCAGGCGAAAAGGUCACCCUGGCCUGUGGGGGAUCCGUUUUCAUCAGUAAACUGUGCCAGGAGCAGAACACCAGCAGCCUUCAGCUUGUAUUCUCUCAGACUCUCUGGUUUUCUCCCUCUGAGGUGGAUCAAGAGGCCCCCAGAGUUUUUGAACAAUUUGAUAGACAAGAGAGACCUUGGACUCCCUGCUAGUCUGGCAAUUGAGAAGUGGUUUUAAUUUGGAAAAAAUAACAGGUGGGACCUCAUUUUUACCCAAAACUAUUGAAGUAGAUCCUACUAUUACCACAUGUACAUAUAUAUUUUACAAAUAUGUCAUCAUAACAUAUAUUGUUUAAUACUUGAUAAGUUCUGUAAAAGUUUCUUUUUUCUCUCUCCUAGAUGUUAUGACCUGAGAAGACUGAAUGUAUUUUCUUGUGGUCUUGUGCUUUGCAGUUUUGAAUAUAUAGUUUAGAUCAAUAAAGAUAUAUUAAUGGAAGAAUA